AUUGAACGCUGGCGGCAGGCCUAACACAUGCAAGUCGAGCGGAUGAAGGGAGCUUGCUCCUGGAUUCAGCGGCGGACGGGUGAGUAAUGCCUAGGAAUCUGCCUGGUAGUGGGGGAUAACGUCCGGAAACGGGCGCUAAUACCGCAUACGCCCUGAGGGAGAAAGUGGGGGAUCUUCGGACCUCACGCUAUCAGAUGAGCCUAGGUCGGAUUAGCUAGUUGGUGGGGUAAAGGCCUACCAAGGCGACGAUCCGUAACUGGUCUGAGAGGAUGAUCAGUCACACUGGAACUGAGACACGGUCCAGACUCCUACGGGAGGCAGCAGUGGGGAAUAUUGGACAAUGGGCGAAAGCCUGAUCCAGCCAUGCCGCGUGUGUGAAGAAGGUCUUCGGAUUGCAAAGCACUUUAAGUUGGGAGGAAGGGCAGUAAGUUAAUACCUUGCUGUUUUGACGUUACCAACAGAAUAAGCACCGGCUAACUUCGUG
This 484-nucleotide ribosomal RNA is filed under the name uncultured bacterium. RNAcentral's name for it is "partial 16S ribosomal RNA". It matches the Rfam family "Bacterial small subunit ribosomal RNA", at positions 30 to 507 of the family's 1533-position model. The record is from RNAcentral.